Molecule: ribosomal RNA, 1143 nt
Filed under: Triticum aestivum (bread wheat)
Lineage: Eukaryota; Viridiplantae; Streptophyta; Magnoliopsida; Poales; Poaceae
Description: partial small subunit ribosomal RNA
Source: RNAcentral
AUGGACGGCCUGCACAGCGCCGACGCCCGCUUCUCCCCCGGGAGGGCCAUGUCGCCUCAGGUGGGCGGCCUCGCUGAAUUGGUUGCCUCUGUUUUUUCAUUGGUCAUCGAAUGUCCACCCACGGAGACCAGCACCCUAUGGAUCGCCAAGCUCUGUUCAGACCAAAAGAUAAGCGCAGACAUAUAUUUUGCGGUGGCUGGAGUGUACUGGCAUGGUUACUUUUUGUUUGCACAGGCGCACGCACGCCCUUUGUGGGAGCUUGAAGAAGAGGGAAACAAGACCCGCCUGAGGCCGGGGGCCCUGCCUGACGAUGAAUUGGCUGCUAUUCUGCGCCUCAUAGUUGGGGACAAUCAGGAGUACCCGCCAAACGCCUUCAUUCCCCUGUUCCAGCGUAGGGAUCGGGAGGAAUUCGUCGCCUCCAGGCCGACCUUUGACGCGCGCGGGCUGGUGCCGCCGGCACCCACAGGAGCCCCCGCAUCGCCGAAGCCCGUGGAGGUGUCUUCUGACGAGUCCUGUGGGGAAGGGGAAGAGGAGGUGGACUCGGAGAAGACUCUGGAAGAGGUGGGGGACACUUCCCCUCUGAACAAGGCCGAGAUCCUCCGCGCCGUUCCUGACGAUGCCGAGGCCGACGCCCGCCAAGGGGAGAGGGAGCAGCCCCUCAGCCCGAUGAGGAAUAUGAGAUUCGUGGAGAUUUUAGGGUUUGCAUGCGGCGCCUCAGGCGUUGCAGGGCGACCCGUUGAAUUCGAGCAAAGAUCGUUUUUUCAGCUGCAGAUGAGACCGGACAGGAAUCUGAUUCAACGUCACCAAUACAUGUAUGGAUCCGAGUCAGAUUGCUGCUCCUCUUCACGUCUACAUCAGUACGGAGCAAGGCUGUUGCCGAGGUCAACAAGAAGUCUGCAGCCGGCCGGGUUGAUGAUUAUUGUCUAUGGUUCUGUCAAAAUUGCCGCUAAAGUCAUAGUAUGUUUGAGGGAGAACAGUACGCUCAGAAAUUCUUUAAAUACCGUCAUGCAACAGCACGAGUGCAUGGUCGCCUUUUCCGUCGAGCCGCUGCUCCUCUGUGACCGAUUACUACUGCCACCCGGUCGUCUUCACUCGUCGGCGUCGUUAAAUAGCCAGCACUGGGCCUCAACUCCAAGUUGCUAA